This 253-nucleotide ribosomal RNA is filed under the name uncultured bacterium. Its description in RNAcentral is "partial 16S ribosomal RNA". It matches the Rfam family "Bacterial small subunit ribosomal RNA", at positions 524 to 776 of the family's 1533-position model. The record is from RNAcentral.
UACGAAGGGGGCGAGCGUUAUUCGGAAUCACUGGGCGUAAAGCGUGCGUAGGCUGUUUCGCAAGUUGGAAGUGAAAGCCCAGGGCUCAACCCCGGAAUUGCUUUCAAAACUGCGAGACUCGAGUCCGGGAGAGGAUAGCGGAAUUUCCAGUGUAGUAGUGAAAUACGUAGAUAUUGGAAGGAACACCAGUGGCGCAAGCGGCUAUCUGGACCGGUACUGACGCUGAGGCACGAAAGCGUGGGGAUCAAACAGG